UACAAAAUCAAUUAUUCUGCACCUCAGAACACAAUGCUAUCGACAUUUUCAAGUGACAUCCAUCUACUCUGUAAAUGAGUUCUUCAUGGUCUCCUUCAGGGCAGAGAAAUCUUAUUAGAAGGGGGUGUACGGGCACCUGUUAACUUCGGAAAUAACUCUGUAUAUAUAGAGAGAAGUAUCGAUUACCCCUGAACUUGUCGCGUUUUAUUCACAAUACACUUGAACUUUGACUAGUCCUAAGUAUCUCCGAACUUGUUCUUUUAGUAUGUCGCGUGCCCCUUUUACAUUGAUGUGGCAAAAUAUUUGAGUUCAACCUCCAUCACGUGCGUGAUGGAGGUAUUUUUAUGCCAAAUCAGCAUUUUUAAUGAUAAAAA
This 374-nucleotide long non-coding RNA is filed under the name Capsicum annuum. Its description in RNAcentral is "long non-coding RNA (CANN_LNC001911)". Lineage: Eukaryota; Viridiplantae; Streptophyta; Magnoliopsida; Solanales; Solanaceae. The record is from RNAcentral.